GGCGAACGCUGGCGGCGUGCCUAAUACAUGCAAGUAGAACGCUGAAGGAGGAGCUUGCUCUUCUGGAUGAGUUGCGAACGGGUGAGUAACGCGUAGGUAACCUGCCUGGUAGCGGGGGAUAACUAUUGGAAACGAUAGCUAAUACCGCAUAACAGUAGAUGUUGCAUGACAUUUACUUAAAAGGUGCAAUUGCAUCACUACCAGAUGGACCUGCGUUGUAUUAGCUAGUUGGUGGGGUAACGGCUCACCAAGGCGACGAUACAUAGCCGACCUGAGAGGGUGAUCGGCCACACUGGGACUGAGACACGGCCCAGACUCCUACGGGAGGCAGCAGUAGGGAAUCUUCGGCAAUGGACGGAAGUCUGACCGAGCAACGCCGCGUGAGUGAAGAAGGUUUUCGGAUCGUAAAGCUCUGUUGUAAGAGAAGAACGAGUGUGAGAGUGGAAAGUUCACACUGUGACGGUAUCUGACCAGAAAGGGACGGCUAACUACGUG
RNAcentral lists this ribosomal RNA (495 nucleotides) under uncultured bacterium. RNAcentral describes it as "partial 16S ribosomal RNA". It matches the Rfam family "Bacterial small subunit ribosomal RNA", at positions 28 to 507 of the family's 1533-position model. The record is from RNAcentral.